Brassica rapa (field mustard) is the source of this 216-nucleotide non-coding RNA. The record is from Rfam. Lineage: Eukaryota; Viridiplantae; Streptophyta; Magnoliopsida; Brassicales; Brassicaceae.
ACGACCUUACUUGAACAGGAUCUGUUCUAUAGGCUCUUACCUCUGUAUCCUUGAUUUCUAAGGAGACAGUCCCUAAACCCUGGUUGAUGAAUCAUGGCCGUGCGAUCUGAGUGUGAUUAACGGCUGCGAUUGUCUUCGGACUCUCUAAGCUGUAGAGGAUCGCUACCUAGUCUGGCUUGACCUCUCUAGGGUGGUCGCACGGUUGUCUGACAGGCU